Molecule: ribosomal RNA, 520 nt
Filed under: Bacillus sp. EGU775
Lineage: Bacteria; Bacillati; Bacillota; Bacilli; Caryophanales; Bacillaceae
Description: bacterial SSU rRNA
Rfam family: Bacterial small subunit ribosomal RNA
Source: RNAcentral
CAACGCGAAGAACCUAACCAGGUCUUGACAUCCUCUGACAACCCUAGAGAUAGGGCUUUCCCCUUCGGGGGACAGAGUGACAGGUGGUGCAUGGUUGUCGUCAGCUCGUGUCGUGAGAUGUUGGGUUAAGUCCCGCAACGAGCGCAACCCUUGAUCUUAGUUGCCAGCAUUCAGUUGGGCACUCUAAGAUGACUGCCGGUGACAAACCGGAGGAAGGUGGGGAUGACGUCAAAUCAUCAUGCCCCUUAUGACCUGGGCUACACACGUGCUACAAUGGACGGUACAAAGGGCAGCAAGACCGCGAGGUUUAGCCAAUCCCAUAAAACCGUUCUCAGUUCGGAUUGCAGGCUGCAACUCGCCUGCAUGAAGCUGGAAUCGCUAGUAAUCGCGGAUCAGCAUGCCGCGGUGAAUACGUUCCCGGGCCUUGUACACACCGCCCGUCACACCACGAGAGUUUGUAACACCCGAAGUCGGUGAGGUAACCUUUGGAGCCAGCCGCCUAAUGAUGCAUCAGCCAUGU